RNAcentral lists this non-coding RNA (25 nucleotides) under Cricetulus griseus (Chinese hamster). The record is from RNAcentral. Lineage: Eukaryota; Metazoa; Chordata; Mammalia; Rodentia; Cricetidae.
UUGCCCUGUGGUGCUCAGAAUUGAA